AGGAAUAUUGGUCAAUGGGCGCAGGCCUGAACCAGCCAAGUAGCGUGAAGGAUGACUGCCCUAUGGGUUGUAAACUUCUUUUAUAAAGGAAUAAAGUCGGGUAUGGAUACCCGUUUGCAUGUACUUUAUGAAUAAGGAUCGGCUAACUCCGUGCCAGCAGCCGCGGUAAUACGGAGGAUCCGAGCGUUAUCCGGAUUUAUUGGGUUUAAAGGGAGCGUAGAUGGAUAUUUAAGUCAGUUGUGAAAGUUUGCGGCUCAACCGUAAAAUUGCAGUUGAUACUGGAUAUCUUGAGUGCAGUUGAGGCAGGCGGAAUUCGUGGCGUAGCGGUGAAAUGCUUAGAUAUCACGAAGAACUCCGAUUGCGAAGGCAGCCUGCUAAGCUGCAACUGACAUUGAGGCUCGAAAGUGUGGGUAUCAAACAGGAUUAGAUACCCUGGUAGUCCACACGGUAAACGAUGAAUACUCGCUGUUUGCGAUAUACUGCAAGCGGCCAAGCGAAAGCGUUAAGUAUUCCACCUGGGGAGUACGCCGGCAACGGUGAAACUCAAAGGAAUUGACGGGGGCCCGCACAAGCGGAGGAACAUGUGGUUUAAUUCGAUGAUACGCGAGGAACCUUACCCGGGCUUAAAUUGCAGAUGAAUUACGGUGAAAGCCGUAAGCCGCAAGGCAUCUGUGAAGGUGCUGCAUGGUUGUCGUCAGCUCGUGCCGUGAGGUGUCGGCUUAAGUGCCAUAACGAGCGCAACCCUUGUUGUCAGUUACUAACAGGUUUUGCUGAGGACUCUGACAAGACUGCCAUCGUAAGAUGUGAGGAAGGUGGGGAUGACGUCAAAUCAGCACGGCCCUUACGUCCGGGGCUACACACGUGUUACAAUGGGGGGUACAGAGGGCCGCUACCACGCGAGUGGAUGCCAAUCCCAAAAACCUCUCUCAGUUCGGACUGGAGUCUGCAACCCGACUCCACGAAGCUGGAUUCGCUAGUAAUCGCGCAUCAGCCACGGCGCGGUGAAUACGUUCCCG
This 1016-nucleotide ribosomal RNA is filed under the name uncultured bacterium. Its description in RNAcentral is "bacterial SSU rRNA". It matches the Rfam family "Bacterial small subunit ribosomal RNA", at positions 357 to 1376 of the family's 1533-position model. The record is from RNAcentral.